CCUACGGGAGGCAGCAGCAACGAAUCUUCCGCAAUGCGCGAAAGCGUGACGGAGCAAUGCCGCGUGCAGGAUGAAGCCCUUCGGGGUGCAAACUGCUGUCAGGGUUUAGCAACCCAAUGAGCAAACCCAAAGGAAGGGCCGGCUAACUUCGUGCCAGCAGCCGCGGUAAUACGAAGGGCCCGAGCGUUGCGCGAAAUCACUGGGCUUAAAGCGUACGUAGGCGGGCACGCAGGCACCUUGUGAAAUCCCUUGGCUCAACCAAGGAAUUGCUUGGUGAACCGCGUGCCUUGAGGCAAGUAGGGGCUGUCGGAACGAUAGGUGGAGCGGUGAAAUGCGUUGAUAUCUAUCGGAACGUCGAAGGCGAAGGCAGGCAGCUGGGCUUGUUCUGACGCUGAGGUACGAAAGCGUGGGGAGCGAACGGGAUUAGAUACCCCGGUAGUCCACGCCGUAAACGAUGUGCACUAGACCGAGGGGGUUCUGACGCCAUUCUCGGUCGAAGCAAAAGUGUUAAGUGCACCGCCUGGGGAGUACGGUCGCAAGGCUAAAACUCAAAGGAAUUGACGGG
This 565-nucleotide ribosomal RNA is filed under the name uncultured Planctomycetota bacterium. RNAcentral describes it as "bacterial SSU rRNA". It matches the Rfam family "Bacterial small subunit ribosomal RNA", at positions 338 to 917 of the family's 1533-position model. Lineage: Bacteria; Pseudomonadati; Planctomycetota. The record is from RNAcentral.